ACCUAAUUUCACAAGCACAACCCAAUCCUUUAAUAGUACUGAGUAAUUCUAUAUACUUAUAGAAAAUUUUAUGUUGAAACUAGUAAUAAGAAGAAGACCUUCUCUUUAAUGUAAGUGUAUGUCAGAAAGGACAAACCACUGAUUUUUAACAUUAUUGAGCCUAAAGUAGAAACCCAUCAAGAAAAGCCUACUUUCACGUAUGUUAAUCUAACACAAGAACAUUUCAAGAAAGAUUAAAAGAAAAAGAAGGAACUCGGCAAAUAUUAACCUCGCCUGUUUACCAAAAACAUCGCCUCUUGCUACAAUAUAAGAGGUCCAGCCUGCCCAGUGACUCUGUUCAACGGCCGCGGUAUCCUAACCGUGCGAAGGUAGCGUAAUCACUUGUUCUUUAAAUGCGGACUAGUAUGAAUGGCACCACGAAGGUUAUACUGUCUCCUUUUUUUAAUCAAUGAAACUAAUCUUCCCGUGAAGAAGCGGGAAUAGAACUAUAAGACGAGAAGACCCUAUGGAGCUUUAAACAACACAGCAUUUGUCUAAAAAUUAAUCUAUUUCAGAAAAUCAACUCUUCAAACAAUAUGACUGCAAGUUUUCGGUUGGGGUGACCACGGAGCAUAAUAUAACCUCCAUGUUGAAAGAAUUUUUUUUAAAUUAAGAAUUACCAAUCAAAAUAUCAACAUAUUGACAUCCAUUGACCCAAUAUACUUGACCAACGAUCCAAGUUACCCUAGGGAUAACAGCGCAAUCCACUUCAAAAGCUCCUAUCGACAAGUGGGUUUACGACCUCGAUGUUGGAUCAGGGUAUCCCAGUGGUGCAGCCGCUACUAAA
Molecule: ribosomal RNA, 826 nt
Filed under: Rhinella inca
Lineage: Eukaryota; Metazoa; Chordata; Amphibia; Anura; Bufonidae
Description: partial 16S ribosomal RNA
Rfam family: Bacterial large subunit ribosomal RNA
Source: RNAcentral